GUGCGGGAACCANNNNNUCCAAUCUCCCACCCGUGUCUACCACACCUGGUGUUGCUUUGGCGGGCCCACUCCUCCGGUCUCCGCCGGGGGGGUCGUCCCGGGGCGCGGUUUUGCCGGGGCGCGUGCCCGCCAGAGCGCAUCACUGUGAAUGCUUGUUGUGAAUGCGAGGAUUGUCUGAGUGAUGAAAUGCAAUCGUUCAAAACUUUCAACAAUGGAUCUCUUGGUUCCGGCAUCGAUGAAGAACGCAGCGAAAUGCGAUAAGUAAUGUGAAUUGCAGAAUUCCGUGAAUCAUCGAAUCUUUGAACGCACAUUGCGCCCCCUGGUAUUCCGGGGGGCAUGCCUGUCCGAGCGUCAUUGCGAACCCUCAAGCACGGCUUGUGUGUUGGGCCGCCGUCCCCCCGUUGCAGGGGGGGGGGACGGGCCUGAAAGGCAGCGGCGGCGUCGCGUCCGGUCCUCGAGCGUAUGGGGCUCUGUCACGCGCUCAAGGAGGGGUCCGGCCGGGGCCAUAGCCUCAAAGGUCAGACUUUUUUCCAAGGUUGACCUCGGAUCAGGUAGGAG
Molecule: ribosomal RNA, 558 nt
Filed under: Thermomyces dupontii
Lineage: Eukaryota; Fungi; Ascomycota; Eurotiomycetes; Eurotiales; Trichocomaceae
Rfam family: 5.8S ribosomal RNA (bases 201-354)
Source: RNAcentral